RNAcentral lists this long non-coding RNA (830 nucleotides) under Androctonus crassicauda. Lineage: Eukaryota; Metazoa; Arthropoda; Arachnida; Scorpiones; Buthidae. The record is from RNAcentral.
AAUUUUUAUAAAGAGAAUAGAUUUAUUUCUAACGUGUAUCCGAAAAUGUCAAAUAUACUUUAAAAAUGCAAAAAGGACAUUUCCGGGUUGUGAAAUAUAGAUUACUCGUUUUAAAAUUCAGUACGAAUGAAUAAUGUCUAUCAUCAGAAGAUUGAUUAAUAGGAAACAAAUCUCCUUUAACUUAUCAAGUAUUUAUCAUAGGUAAUUGCCAUUCUACUAUUGCUCAGAAUCUGUCUCCUACGUAGCCCAUACUUGUGAUCAACUUGAUUCCCUAUGGUGUCAUAGAUCACGCUUCCCUGUUUGUCCGACUCAUCCAUUACUCAUAGGGGAUUGAGCCAGUUUUUGAUCUAAGGAAACCGAGUGGAUAAUCAACGAGAGAUUUAACGUGCUCAUGAGGGUGAGAAAAAAUCAAUACCGAAGCAAGCCAUUUUCUGGCUUUGUUUGCAGCUGCACGAUACUCUCCACUCUUAGCAAACAGAAGAAACUCGUCGCUAUUUUAACUAUUAUUUGUUUAAAGUCAGUUGUUACUUAUGAAGUUCUGACUUUAUCUUCAGUUUUUCAUCCGACCUUGACCUCUCUAACUCUGCAAGGUUAGCAGGAAGGUGUAACACCUGUCUUUUGAUGGGUAUCCAAACACCUGUCUGCCAUGCCGAUUUUCAUAAUUUUUAAUAUUUUUACAAGUUUAAAAAUAUGUUUGAGCGAUUUACACUUAAAAGUAUGUAAAAAAUCAUAAACAAUCGCUUGCGUCCAAGACAAAAUAAUAAGCUAAUCUAAGAUUUAAUUGUCAGCUAAUUUCGAUUUUAUAUUUAAAUUAACCUAUAUAUAUCGGC